AAUAGCCUAACGGCUGAACCAGCAACUUGGAAGAAUGUAUAGCAAGAGCUAAUUGUAUUAACUAAAUAAAUAGUUUUACAGUCUCGUUUAUUCGAAUAAAAUUCUAGGUAGAUUUAUGAUAAUGACAUUAUCUAUCUAUGUGUCUUGACCAAAUUACGUGCCAGCAGUCGCGGUAAUACGUAAGAGACUAGUGUUAUUCAUCUUUAAUUGGUUUAAAGCGUACCUAGACGGUAAUUAUAGCCUAAACCAGGUACUUUUUUACUAGAGUUAUAUGUAAGGGUGUAUUAAAGUACUGUUGAGUUUAGAAAUAAAAUUCUUUGACACCAGAUAAUUGGCACAGGUAUAGGCGAAAGCAUCACUUUAUGUAAUAACUGACGUUGAGGGACGAAGGCUAUGUGUCGCGAACAGGAUUAGAUACCCUAGUAGUCUUAGCAGAAAAUUAUGAAUGUCAUAGGUUAGAUUUUAUUUGGUCUAUAAAUGAAAGUGUAAGCAUUCCACCUCAAGAGUAAUUUGGCAACAUUGGAACUGAAAUCAUUAGACCGUUUCUGAAACCAGUAGUGAAGUAUGUUGUUUAAUUUGAUGAUCCGCAAAAAACCUUACCACAAUUUGAAUAUAUUUUUACAAGCGUUGCACGGCUGUCUUCAGUUGAUGUCGUGAGAUUAUGAUUGAGUUCAUUUAAUUAACGUAAACCCUUACCCUUUUUUUAUAAAGAGUUUUCCACCUUGGUUGGUUGUGAUAAAAGGGACUAAGACAAGUCAUCAUGGCCUUAAUAUUGU
RNAcentral lists this ribosomal RNA (776 nucleotides) under Psoroma fruticulosum. RNAcentral's name for it is "SSU rRNA". It matches the Rfam family "Bacterial small subunit ribosomal RNA", at positions 370 to 1210 of the family's 1533-position model. Lineage: Eukaryota; Fungi; Ascomycota; Lecanoromycetes; Peltigerales; Pannariaceae. The record is from RNAcentral.